Molecule: ribosomal RNA, 253 nt
Filed under: uncultured bacterium
Lineage: Bacteria
Description: partial 16S ribosomal RNA
Rfam family: Bacterial small subunit ribosomal RNA
Source: RNAcentral
UACGUAGGGUGCGAGCGUUAAUCGGAAUUACUGGGCGUAAAGUGUGCGCAGGCGGCCGAGCAAGUCGAGUGUGAAAGCCCCGAGCUUAACUUGGGAACUGCGCUCGAAACUACUUGGCUAGAGUGUGGCAGAGGGAGGUGGAAUUCCACGUGUAGCGGUGAAAUGCGUAGAUAUGUGGAGGAACACCGAUGGCGAAGGCAGCCCCCUGGGUCAAGACUGACGCUCAUGCACGAAAGCGUGGGGAGCAAACAGG